This 158-nucleotide non-coding RNA is filed under the name Parabacteroides faecis. Lineage: Bacteria; Pseudomonadati; Bacteroidota; Bacteroidia; Bacteroidales; Tannerellaceae. The record is from RNAcentral.
CGCUAUCUGUUAGUAAAAGGGAAUCCGGUGCAAGUCCGGAACUGUACCCGUAGCUGUAAGUUCUGUAACCCCGGCAAUCUUGUUGCCACUGGGAAUUUAUGAUUCCUGGGAAGGCGGCCGGUCAUGGGAGAACAAGUCAGAAAACCUGCCAUUAUUUU